UUGACUUCUAACACUGUACACAUCAAUCGCGUUUGUGAGGUUUGCAUGAAGAAAAAAUGAAGGUUUUGCGUGAAGGACACUUGUUAUCGAUAACAUUGGGAUUAACGUGCAAAUGAAAAUCACAAAGAAGUGAAAUUAAUACUUGAUAAUUAUCUUCUCUUGGACAAGGAUGUUAUUACCAAUAUUAUAAAAUGAUUCGGCCAUUUUUUGCAUGCGAGCGUCAAUAUCAAAUCAACGUCAACCUUGUCAUCAACGCUUGCCGUUCAAGAAAGGAGGGUGAUGUCGUCUGACGGCAAAACACGGAUACACCAAUACAUAGGAUAUGGAGCGGACAUCCUAGGCGGUAAUAUUUAUGCAAAAAGCGGUGCGAUAUACAGAGAAAAGGUGAUGGCCAAGAGUGAAAAGUAAGGCGCGAAACGGCUGUGCUUUGUAACCCAAUGGAAAACGAAGAGAAGUGAAAGUACAAUUCAUUUAAA
This is a long non-coding RNA of Aedes aegypti (yellow fever mosquito), 476 nucleotides long. RefSeq lists it as uncharacterized. The record is from RefSeq and is a predicted model, not a curated record. The transcript is spliced from 3 exons. NCBI's taxonomy places the organism in Eukaryota, Metazoa, Arthropoda, Insecta, Diptera, Culicidae.